Long non-coding RNA from Sinocyclocheilus anshuiensis, 1067 nucleotides. RefSeq lists it as uncharacterized. The record is from RefSeq and is a predicted model, not a curated record. Lineage: Eukaryota; Metazoa; Chordata; Actinopteri; Cypriniformes; Cyprinidae. The transcript has 9 exons.
GUAGGCAACAGUGUGCUGUUGGAAUGCCUUCCUUUUUGAUGCUUGUUUUUUUAAUUCUGGCUAUUUUCUUAGUGGCACAAGCAGCAAUCACUGUGGACUGUGGCAAAAACUCUGUCUCUGUGUGAUGGGUUGAUGCAGACCCUCAAGUGGAUCCAUCCCUGCUCCGCCUGGGUAACUGUCCUCCAACCCAGGUUUCAGUAAAAUCUCAAGGCUCAGAGGCAGUGUUCUAUGCUGAAUUUUGGGCUUGUAAUAUUAGGAGGCUGGUGACAACUAAUGAGAUUAUAUUUGAGGCCGAGAUCACUUCUCCCACAUUGUCAAAAGCAACACCAAUUUAUUACUCUGUGGCCUGUGCAUAUGAAGGGCCAGAAGACUGGGCGCCUCCUUUGUAUGACCCCCUGCUGUUUCAUACACAUGGCCAGGGAGAUCUGGCCUUUCGUAUAGCGCUCAUGAAGGAUGACUUUAGUGGUGUGGCCACUACCACAAUAUUCUCACUAGGCUCAACAAUCCCAAUUGCUGCCUCAGUUGCCCAGCAGAACCAUCAGCCAUUAAUACUGCUGCUGGAUGAAUGUCUGGCAUCCACAACACCAGAACUGGGUCCAGAUUCUCAUGUUUACCCACUCAUUACCAAUAAUGGGUAUGUGUGAAAACGAGAUGUGGUCUUUCUGGAUCCAAAAACAUUUUCAUGUUCCACAGCAGUGGAGUCUACCUGCACUGCAGGCUUGUGGCAUGGGACCCAAGUGACCUGGAUGGUGGCAAGAAAGCUUGUCAAUAUGACAGGAUCAGCUCACGUUGGGUGCUGAUUGAUGAUCCAUCCCAGAAUUCUCUCUGCAGCUGCUGUGACACUAACUGUCAAGGAAGAAAGAAACGAGGAAUAACAGCAGAUUCCUCCGCUUUAAAUUCUGUUAUUGGGCCUCUGGUUAUUAUUGAAAACUGAGGACUGGGUCAUACCUUGGAUUUGACAAGAUUGCCUCCAAGCCACGGGAGUUGCUUUGGACAUCCUAAGGGUUGAGCUCUACCUGUUCCUGUUCAACUGCUGCGUUUCUUGAGAGAAAUAAAUCAUUAUAAAA